This is a long non-coding RNA of Hipposideros armiger (great roundleaf bat), 2332 nucleotides long. RefSeq lists it as uncharacterized. The record is from RefSeq and is a predicted model, not a curated record. The transcript has 3 exons. Lineage: Eukaryota; Metazoa; Chordata; Mammalia; Chiroptera; Hipposideridae.
GCCAGUAACAAAGCCUUCUUGCAGCACACUGAGCCCUCUCCAUAUGCCAUGCAGCAUGUUAGGAACUUUCUGCAAUAUGUGGCAAAUCCUCACAAAAGCUUGUAGGGAAGAUUUUCUUUUCAGUGUUGUGCAGAGGUGAAAAAUAGAGGCUUAGCUAGAUUGAGCGACUGGCCCAAGUUCCCACAGUUAGUGAGGGGGGAGUUGAGUCAAGGGCAGACCUAUGUGUUCGCUUAGGCCAGCUGGAAUAAGAAUGUGAUACCACAGUAGGAACCGUGAAGAGCCAAAGCCAAGGACUGGUGUGCAGUUCUGCAGCUUUUUCUGGAGGUGCAGCCUGAGGCUGGCUUAGCUUUUCCUGAAGGAAGGAGGGACCGCUGUAUAAUCCAAGGCAAAGAGGGUGACAAAUACAAAGUGAAAUGAAGAAAGAUAAAAGGAUCUGCAAAGAUUUCAGAGUAUGUGACCCAAAGAAGAAAAAGCUGAGAAACUAGUUAAUAUCUUCAAGUCUGUGAAGGCCUAUGACAAAGCGCAAGUGGGGACCAGCUGUUACUAAUCUUUCCAGAGGUAACUAAAGAAGUUAUGGGCUUAAAUUAAAGAAGGAAUUUAAGAUUUUUUACCAUCAGCAUCCUGACUGUGAAGAUUUUUACCAACUAGGAGGGACUAGAAUAGCACAGGCUCACCUGCCUUGAAUUUUGAAGAAUGUUACAUUUGUCUAUUGUCUUGUACAAACCAUCUCAAAACUUCACAGAGUAGAAGAAGCAAAUGCCAUUUUAUAAUGCACAUGGAUGCUGUGGGUCAGGAAUUCAGAUAGGGCUCAGCAAGAAUGUCUUGUUCCAGCUACAUGAUGGCUGAGGCUUCAGUUGGGAGGAUUUGAAAGGCUGGGAGUAACUUACAUGGUGGGCCUGGAUUCAUCUGUAGGUUUCUUCAUUCACAUGUCAAAUGCUGGGGUUAUGUCUUUCUAUGGAGUGUCAAGACCUCUCCAUGUCAUUAUUGCACAUGGCUUCUCCAACUUGGCAGCCUCAGGGUAGUUGGACAUCUUACAUGUGACUCAGGGCCCCAAAAGCAAAUGCAAAGGAAAGUAGUCAGAAUCCUGUCUAGACUCCAGGGGAGGGAAUACAGAUGUUACCUCUCAAUGGAAGAGUGUCAAAUAAUUUAUGGCUAUGUUUGAAAACCAUCACAAAGAACUGCCUGUAAUUCAUUUACUUAUUCAACCAACCAGCACUGAUUAAGCACAGAUACCAGAUCUAGUCUGAGAAAACUAAGAAGAAUUUAGCAUGUCCCUGCUUGCCUUUAGGAGUUCAUGGUCUGUUUGUAGUGGAGAAGGUAACCCAGAGUCCAGGUGAUACACUUGGAGAGGACCUGGUGAAGUCCAUAGGGUUUUCUGCCAAUAAAGCCCUCCUCUCUGGGACUGAACACUCUAGGGAAAAAUUCCUCUGAAUCCAACUAAGCUAGCAAUAAGCACUUUUUUAAUUUGUUUCUGUUCCUACAUUUUGACUUGUGCUUUCUGGAUUGUGGGCACUGGGAUUCCUAAUCUUUAACAAUGACUCUCAUUCUAAAUGCAAACAGAAGGAGAAAGUGACAGCAUGGCCGAGUGCAAUAUAUUCUAAUGCAGUAACAUGCUGACACUGGUUGGGCAAAUGGAGCUGCAUUAAACAAAUGUGUUUGCUUAACCCUUCCCAGGAGGGCCUGGAAGUUUCAUAUCAUGAAGUUGCACAGUUCAUGCCUCUCUCAGGGUCCACCUAGGAGAGGCUGGGCAGCACCAUUUCAGCUCAGUAGACGUGUGAGCAGCAGCCCGUUUAUGGGCUUUCAUGGGAAUAUACUAGUUUAGCUAGAGUGACUUUUAAUCAUUUCUUUUAUGUUCUCCAGCUUUUAAAUUUUUCACAGGACAGACCAUACAAUUAAGCAACCUCAAACCAGCCUCCUGCUGCCACUAUAUAAAAUAACUUCGUGACUGAAAUUGGCUCCAUUGUCUAGUUGAUCACUUGAUUCAGAAUGAAUUUGCUGCUUGUUCUGUCUCUCCCCAUCCGCCCUCUUUGGCACAGUGAAGGAUUGAAUGGGCUCAGUUCACCUUCCCGCUCAGUAGUAGGGUUUUAUUUCCUUUGCUUUUCUUGGUCAGGGCCAGAGGAGGUAGCCCUCCACUGCUGGCUGUGAAGUGUUCUCUGUCCAGAUAAUCAUUUAUCCAAAACCUCCCUCCUCUGACCUGAACAAAAUGUCCACCAUUAAUUGUGAUCUGAAAGUCUUGUGGCAUAGCCUCUAGAUGGUUCAGUGAAAAUCAAACUUCCUCUGGUUAUGUGCAUUAACUGAUGAACAAUAGUGGCUGUAAUAAUCAUUUAUUGAA